UACGUAGGGUGCAAGCGUUGUCCGGAAUUAUUGGGCGUAAAGAGCUCGUAGGCGGUUUGUUGCGUCGGCUGUGAAAACCUGAGGCUCAACCCCGGGCCUGCAUUCGAUACGGGCAGACUAGAGUUCGGUAGGGGAGUCUGGAAUUCCUGGUGUAGCGGUGAAAUGCGCAGAUAUCAGGAGGAACACCGGUGGCGAAGGCGGGACUCUGGGCCGAUACUGACGCUGAGGAGCGAAAGCGUGGGGAGCAAACAGG
RNAcentral lists this ribosomal RNA (253 nucleotides) under uncultured bacterium. RNAcentral describes it as "partial 16S ribosomal RNA". It matches the Rfam family "Bacterial small subunit ribosomal RNA", at positions 524 to 776 of the family's 1533-position model. The record is from RNAcentral.